Molecule: ribosomal RNA, 415 nt
Filed under: uncultured bacterium
Lineage: Bacteria
Description: bacterial SSU rRNA
Rfam family: Bacterial small subunit ribosomal RNA
Source: RNAcentral
UACUGAAUCAUUGCCUAAUGCGCGAAAGCGUGAGCAUGCGACGCCGCGUGAGGGACGAAGGCCCUCGGGUUGUAAACCUCUGUCAGGGGUCAGGAAAUGAGGCUUUGCCUCUUGACCAGCCCCAAAGGAAGCACCGGCUAACUCCGUGCCAGCAGCCGCGGUAAGACGGAGGGUGCAAGCGUUGUUCGGAUUCACUGGGCAUAAAGAGCACGUAGGCGGCUUGUUAAGUCGGGUGUGAAAUCCCUCGGCUCAACCGGGGAAUUGCAUUCGAUACUGGCUCGCUUGAGGAUAGGAGAGGAGAGCGGAAUUCCUGGUGUAGCGGUGAAAUGCGUAGAUAUCAGGGAGAAGGUCGGCGGCGAAGGCGGCUCUCUAGACUAUUCCUGACGCUGAGGUGCGAAAGCCAGGGGAGCGAACG